Mustela lutreola (European mink) is the source of this 103-nucleotide small nuclear RNA. Lineage: Eukaryota; Metazoa; Chordata; Mammalia; Carnivora; Mustelidae. The record is from RefSeq and is a predicted model, not a curated record.
UUGCUUCAGCAGCAAAUAUACUAAAAUUGGAACAAUUCAGAGAAGGUUAGCAUGGCCUCUGCGCAAGGAUGACACACAAAUUCUUGAAGCUUUCCAUAUUAAA